RNAcentral lists this ribosomal RNA (520 nucleotides) under uncultured Diversispora. Its description in RNAcentral is "SSU rRNA". It matches the Rfam family "Eukaryotic small subunit ribosomal RNA", at positions 569 to 1087 of the family's 1831-position model. Lineage: Eukaryota; Fungi; Glomeromycota; Glomeromycetes; Diversisporales; Diversisporaceae. The record is from RNAcentral.
AGCAGCCGCGGUAAUUCCAGCUCCAAUAGCGUAUAUUAAAGUUGUUGCAGUUAAAAAGCUCGUAGUUGAACUCCGGGGUUUACCCAUUGGUCAGGCUUAAUUGUCUGUACUGGUGAGAUAAAUCUCUACCUUCUGAGGAACUUUCAUGUCAUUAAUUUGGUGUGAUUGGAAAUCAGGACUGUUACUUUGAAAAAAUUAGAGUGUUUAAAGCAGACUAACGUCUGAAUACAUUAGCAUGGAAUAAUGAAAUAGGACGGACUGAUUCUAUUUCGUUGGUUUCUAGGAUCACCGUAAUGAUUAAUAGGGAUAGUUGGGGGCAUUAGUAUUCAAUUGUCAGAGGUGAAAUUCUUGGAUUUAUUGAAGACUAACUACUGCGAAAGCAUUUGCCAAGGAUGUUUUCAUUAAUCAAGAACGAGAGUUAGGGGAUCGAAGACGAUCAGAUACCGUCGUAGUCUUAACCAUAAACUAUGCCGACUAGGGAUCGGACGAAGUUAAUUUUCAUAAUGACGCGUUCGGCACC